Molecule: ribosomal RNA, 289 nt
Filed under: uncultured bacterium
Lineage: Bacteria
Description: partial 16S ribosomal RNA
Rfam family: Bacterial small subunit ribosomal RNA
Source: RNAcentral
GUGGAUUAGAUACCCUGGUAGUCCACGCCCUAAACGAUGUCAACUGGGUGUUGGGGAAGCGAUUCCUUGGUACCGUAGCUAACGCGUGAAGUUGACCGCCUGGGGAGUACGGCCGCAAGGUUAAAACUCAAAGGAAUUGACGGGGACCCGCACAAGCGGUGGAUGAUGUGGAUUAAUUCGAUGCAACGCGAACAACCUUACCUACCCUUGACAUGUCUGGAAUCCUUCUGAGAGGAGGGAGUGCCCGAAAGGGAACCGGAACACAGGUGCUGCAUGCUUGUCGUCAACU